GGAAGAGAAGGUUCCCCGGUGGGAUGGCCGGUCUUCAAAACCGGCAGGGGUCGCCAUGCGGUCCCGGGUGGGUUCGACUCCCGCUCUUUUCCGCCA
This 96-nucleotide transfer RNA is filed under the name Rhodocyclales bacterium. RNAcentral's name for it is "tRNA-Sec". It matches the Rfam family "Selenocysteine transfer RNA". Lineage: Bacteria; Pseudomonadati; Pseudomonadota; Betaproteobacteria; Rhodocyclales. The record is from RNAcentral. RNAcentral also lists the same sequence under 1 other name.